AAUGCGAUAAGUAAUGUGAAUUGCAGAAUUCAGUGAAUCAUCGAAUCUUUGAACGCACCUUGCGCUCCUUGGUAUUCCUUGGAGCACGCCUGUUUGAGUAUCAUGAAAUCUUCAAAGUAAAUCUUUUGUUAACUCAAUUGGUUUCUACUUUGGUAUUGGAGGUCUUUGCAGCUUCACACCUGCUCCUCUUUGUUCAUUAGCUGGAUCUCAGUGUUAUGCUUGGUUCCACUCGGCGUGAUAAGUUAUCUAUCGCUGAGGACACUGUAAAAGGUGGCCAAGGUAAAUGCAGAUGAACCGCUUCUAAUAGUCCAUUGACUUGGACAAUACUUUUAUGAUCUGAUCUCAAAUCAGGUAGGACUACCCGCUGAACUUAAGC
This 376-nucleotide unclassified non-coding RNA is filed under the name plant metagenome. RNAcentral describes it as "partial contains 5.8S ribosomal RNA, internal transcribed spacer 2, and large subunit ribosomal RNA". The stretch from base 1 to 103 matches the Rfam family "5.8S ribosomal RNA", at positions 52 to 154 of the family's 154-position model. The record is from RNAcentral.